AUUGAACGCUAGCGGGAUGCUUUACACAUGCAAGUCGAACGAGGGGCGGAAGGGUGAGUAAUAUAUCGGAACGGGCCCAGUAGCGGGGGAUAACUACUCGAAAGAGUGGCUAAUAAAGCAAACUAUUGGAGCGGCCGAUAUCGGAUUAGCUAGUGGGGGGGGUAAAGGCUCACCAAGGCAACAAUCCGUAGCUGGUUUGAGAGGACGAACAGCCACACUGUGACUGGGACACGGCCCAGACUCCUACGGGAGGCAGCAGUGGGGAAUUUUGGACAAUGGUGGAAACCCUGAUCCAGCCAUCCCGCGUGUAUGAGAAGGCCUUCGGGUUGUAAAGUACUUUUGGCAGAGAAGCGGUAUCUGCAGAAUAAGCACCGGCUAACUUCGUGCCAGCAGCCGCGGUUAAUUC
Molecule: ribosomal RNA, 406 nt
Filed under: uncultured bacterium
Lineage: Bacteria
Description: partial 16S ribosomal RNA
Rfam family: Bacterial small subunit ribosomal RNA
Source: RNAcentral